RNAcentral lists this small RNA (147 nucleotides) under Macaca mulatta (Rhesus monkey). RNAcentral's name for it is "Metazoan signal recognition particle RNA (ENSMMUG00000052857.1)". RNAcentral also lists the same sequence under 1 other name. The record is from Rfam by way of RNAcentral. Lineage: Eukaryota; Metazoa; Chordata; Mammalia; Primates; Cercopithecidae.
GCCGGGCGUGGUGGCGGGCGCCUGUAGUCCCAGCUACUCGGAGGCUGAGGCGGGAGAAUGGCGUGAACCCGGGAGGUGGAGCUUGCAGUGAGCCGAGAUCGCGCCACUGCACUCCAGCCUGGGCGACAGAGCCAGACUCCGUCUCAA